AACCUAGCACACCUGCGGUGUGUACCUGCGGAAGGAUCAUUACACAAAUUAAAAUAUGAAGGCUUCGGCUGGAUUAUUUUUAUCACCCUUGUCUUUUGCGCACUUGUUGUUUCCUGGGCGGGUUCGCCCGCCACCAGGACCACACCAUAAACCUUUUUUAUGCAGUUGCAAUCAGCGUCAGUAUAACAAAUGUAAAUCAUUUACAACUUUCAACAAUGGAUCUCAGAUCGGAAGAGCACA
This 240-nucleotide unclassified non-coding RNA is filed under the name soil metagenome. RNAcentral describes it as "partial contains 5.8S ribosomal RNA, internal transcribed spacer 2, and large subunit ribosomal RNA". The record is from RNAcentral.